ACAGUCACACAUUAGAUACCCCGGUAGUCCCAGCCGUAAACUAUGCGCGUUAGGUGUAUCGGUGACCACGAGUUACCGAGGUGCCGAAGGGAAACCGUGAAACGUGCCGCCUGGGAAGUACGGUCGCAAGGCUGAAACUUAAAGGAAUUGGCGGGGAGCACCACAACGGGUGGAGCCUGCGGUUUAAUUGGACUCAACGCCGGGAAGCUCACCGGAUAAGACAGCGGAAUGAUUGCCGGGCUGAAGACUCUGCAUGACUAGCUG
Molecule: ribosomal RNA, 264 nt
Filed under: uncultured archaeon
Lineage: Archaea
Description: partial 16S ribosomal RNA
Rfam family: Archaeal small subunit ribosomal RNA
Source: RNAcentral